This 590-nucleotide ribosomal RNA is filed under the name Rhodothermaeota bacterium MED-G19. Its description in RNAcentral is "bacterial SSU rRNA". It matches the Rfam family "Bacterial small subunit ribosomal RNA", at positions 1 to 606 of the family's 1533-position model. Lineage: Bacteria; Pseudomonadati; Rhodothermota. The record is from RNAcentral.
UACAAUGGAGAGUUUGAUCCUGGCUCAGGAAGAACGCUAGCGGCAGGCCUUAUACAUGCAAGUCGAGGGGCAGCAUUUACUUCGGUAAAUGGCGACCGGCGCACGGGUGAGUAACGCGUAUGCAACCUACCUUUAACUGGGGCAUAGCUCGAGGAAACUCGAAUUAAUUCCCCAUAGUACAUUAUAAUAUCUCAUGAUAUAAAUGUUAAAGAUUUAUCGGUUAAAGAUGGGCAUGCGUCUGAUUAGUUUGUUGGUAAGGUAACGGCUUACCAAGACUACGAUCAGUAGGGGGUCUGAGAGGAUGAUCCCCCACACUGGUACUGAGACACGGACCAGACUCCUACGGGAGGCAGCAGUAAGGAAUAUUGCACAAUGGAGGAAACUCUGAUGCAGCAAUGCCGCGUGAGUGAAGAAGGCCCUUGGGUCGUAAAGCUCUUUUAUGGGGGAAGAUGAUGACGGUACCCCAAGAAUAAGCACCGGCUAACUCCGUGCCAGCAGCCGCGGUAAUACGGAGGGUGCAAGCGUUGUUCGGAAUUACUGGGCGUAAAGGGCGCGCAGGCGGAAUAGCAAGUCGGAGGUGAAAGCCCGGG